UCCGUGAUAGUUUAAUGGUCAGAAUGGGCGCCUGUCACGUGCCAGAUCGGGGUUCAAUUCCCCGUCGCGGAGCCA
This 75-nucleotide transfer RNA is filed under the name Saccharomyces cerevisiae (brewer's yeast). RNAcentral's name for it is "transfer RNA-Asp". It matches the Rfam family "tRNA". Rfam says of the family: Transfer RNA (tRNA) molecules are approximately 80 nucleotides in length. Their secondary structure includes four short double-helical elements and three loops (D, anti-codon, and T loops). The record is from RNAcentral. Lineage: Eukaryota; Fungi; Ascomycota; Saccharomycetes; Saccharomycetales; Saccharomycetaceae.